Molecule: microRNA, 21 nt
Filed under: Capra hircus (goat)
Lineage: Eukaryota; Metazoa; Chordata; Mammalia; Artiodactyla; Bovidae
Description: chi-miR-497-3p (MIR497)
Source: RNAcentral
UCCAAACCACACUGUGGUGUU